Molecule: ribosomal RNA, 254 nt
Filed under: uncultured bacterium
Lineage: Bacteria
Description: partial 16S ribosomal RNA
Rfam family: Bacterial small subunit ribosomal RNA
Source: RNAcentral
UACGGAGGGUGCAAGCGUUGUCCGGAUUUAUUGGGCGUAAAGAGCUCGUAGGCGGCUCGGUAAGUCAGGUGUGAAACCUCCAGGCUCAACCUGGAGACGCCACCUGAUACUGCCGUGGCUAGAGUCCGGUAGAGGAGCGUAGAAUUCCUGGUGUAGCGGUGAAAUGCGCAGAUAUCAGGAGGAAUACCAGCGGCGAAGGCGGCGCUCUGGGCCGGUACUGACGCUGAGGAGCGAAAGCGUGGGGAGCAAACAGG